Molecule: transfer RNA, 74 nt
Filed under: Cricetulus griseus (Chinese hamster)
Lineage: Eukaryota; Metazoa; Chordata; Mammalia; Rodentia; Cricetidae
Rfam family: tRNA
About the family: Transfer RNA (tRNA) molecules are approximately 80 nucleotides in length.
Source: Rfam by way of RNAcentral
GGAGCUAUGGCUCAGUGAUUAAGAGCACUGGGCUGCUCUUCCAGAGGACCAGGGUUUGAAUCCUUGCACAUACA